UGUUACGUUUGAAGCAGGAAAUACAACAAAGGAAGCUUGGGGUGGGAACCAUAGAGAGGGGAGUGAUAGGCCUACAUCUGUGAAAGGAAGGUACAGUAGAAUUCUAAACACAUGAUUGGAAGAAUACAUUCUACCCACAUUGGUCUGUUCAUCUGAAUCUGUUUUCCAAACUGUGAGCCCUUUGGAGACAGGGAACCAUCAUUUAUUUAUUAUUUAUUUUUCUACGUAAACUGUUUUGGAAACAUUUGUUGAAAAGAGAUUCCUUCUUCAUGCCACAGAGUCCAUUUCCAGAUGAGUAGCCUUGGUUGUAUGAGUGAUCCAAGUGACAAAUCGCACACAAAGCAACCAAUGGGAGAAAUUAUAGCCACAAUGAACAGAACUCCGACUGUGUAAAGAGGCAAGAUUUCAUCCACAAUACAAGAACAUGUACAUUUCAAAAAGAGUCCAAAGGACACUUCUUCAAAAGAAACAGGCCCUACAAAGACUACCAAGAGACUAUCUAUCAUCUAGAGAAGAGAGAACAUGAAAUGUAUAUAAAUCUGAUGCUACUCAAUGCUGAAGUCUUAGCUUUUUGCUUUGGGACUGAUCACAAGGAGUUGUGAGUAGAGUUUAUAGUCCCCACUUUUCUUUGAUUAGGAGGAAGAUGGUAUUUCUAUCAAUCGACUGUAAUAUGUACAUUCCAUGAUGUACAUAUUUUACCAAUGACUUGGUAAAAAUAGAGCCCCAAAGCAGCACAUAUUCACCUCUAUAUGGACUAGCUUCAAAAACUGAUUGUGUCAGAGCAGUUCGUUCUCUCCCUCUCCUUCUCCUUCUCCCUCUCCCUCUCCCCCACCCUCUCUCUCACCCUCCAUGACCAACUAUAUCAUUAAUUAUGCCUGUAGAAGGAAUAAUGCUCGUAAUCUCUUGAACUAUCCCCAGAUUACCACAGGGCACCAAUAUAAUAAGAGCAGCAAGAUCAAGAAAGACACUCUAGUCUGUAAUGUCUAUCAUCCAAGAUGACCAGCCUAGUCCAUGUUGUUAAUUGAGCCAAUGUUGAUAUCUCACAUUACUAAAACGUGUUCAGCACUGCAUACCACUAAUCAACCCAUGUUUACAGUACAGCAUAUCUAUCUAUCUAUCUAUUUCUACCAAUGCACUCAAGGUAGUUCUAAUUUAAAAUAAUGCCUUGCAAUCUAAUAGACACAACAAAAAUAAGCAUUUUCAGGUCAUAGCUCUUAGAAAAGAUAGUAUCAAAUCUUACAAAUGUAUCACCUAGGCAAAAUCCUAGCAAAACCCCCACAUCAUACAGAUGUUGUGAGAAUUGGACUCCAUGUAACAUCUACCUGACUAUCUCAACCAAACCUCUUUCUCUUAGACACAUGGUUUCAAUAGCAGGAUGAGCAUAUCUCCUUUGCCUUUCAGUCACAUCUGGGCAUUUCCCUUAAUCCACCUCACAUGAAACAAAUAAUCUAGAGCUCUUUUUUAAAAAUCAGCCUCUAAAGCUUUUGUUUAUUUAAAGUUCUGUAGAGCUAAUCGGAACUAAUCAUCGCACAGAAUACAAAUAAAUGCUUCUCUUUCCUUAAUAGCAAGCCAGACUCGAGCCAGUUGUUCCGAACCUUAACAUGGCUGGACUAUGAUGGUUUUUCUGUGCUUACAGUAUUUGUUAUUCUACCAUUAAAGGGAUCACGGGAGGGGUGCUUGGUUUUUACAAGGCAAUAAUUGUGAGUGAGCAAGCCAUGAGGCCAGAGACUGAGUCAUUUAUCUCAAUGAGGAGAGAGGAUUAUUCAGGAGAAAAAUGCGGCACUCCUUCCAUAAGGCAAACAAUAACAUUUGUAUUCUCAGUACAAAUAGAGCAUUCCGCCCUGCCAUGGCUAGCCUAGGCUCUUUUUCCUGCCACCUCCAUUUUUUUGAACUGCUCCUCACCAAGCUGUUGUUAAGGACUAUUGCUGGACUCUUGCCAGCAGCCACUCACUUCCCUCCACUCUUCUCCAUGGCUGAUUUAGCAAAACGUUCCAUAGAAUAAAUCUAAACUUUCCUUUCUUCUCCUGUUGUGCCUGUUACUGCCUAAAGCCGAGUUCAGCUGUCAGCUUGAGCCCUGACUAGAUCAGACCACCCAUGUUCCCAGCAAAUGCUUUGAGCUGCACUGGACUGAAACUUGACAGUUGGAUUUGGCGCAAAGGGUGAUAUCAUCAUUAGGCCAAGGGAGGUGUAGGUGGCAUAUUUAAUACUGGAUUAAUGAGGAAAGGGUUUAUAUGUUUUAGGGUGCCACAGUCUGACCAUGCAUUGUAGGUAGUGGCCUUCCAGAACACAGUUGCAAUUAGAGAUGUGCACAAAACCGGCUGGCCCGGUUUGGUUCACGUUUGAACAGGACCAGGCCAGUUCGUUUUUGACCCCCAGCGAACCACCCCCACACAUUUGGUUUGGUUUGAGGGGGGUUUGUGAGUCAAAUGUUUUAGAUUUUUUUAAUAAUACUUACCUUCUCUAGGGGGUGGGGGGGGCUUCUCCAAGGCCAUGGGGGAGGGCCUCAGCGGAGGUUCCCCCUCCCCCACCGGCCUUUUUGUGGCAAAAAUUGCCCGGAUCAGGCCUUC
Long non-coding RNA from Hemicordylus capensis (graceful crag lizard), 2567 nucleotides. RefSeq lists it as uncharacterized. NCBI's taxonomy places the organism in Eukaryota, Metazoa, Chordata, Lepidosauria, Squamata, Cordylidae. The record is from RefSeq and is a predicted model, not a curated record. The transcript is spliced from 3 exons.